CGGGUGAGUAAUGUAUGGGGAUCUGCCUGAUGGCGGGGGAUAACUACUGGAAACGGUAGCUAAUACCGCAUAAUGUCUGCGGACCAAAGCGGGGGACCUCCGGGCCUCGCGCCAUCAGAUGAACCCAUAUGGGAUUAGCUAGUAGGUGGGGUAACGGCUCACCUAGGCGACGAUCCCUAGCUGGUCUGAGAGGAUGACCAGCCACACUGGGACUGAGACACGGUCCAG
RNAcentral lists this ribosomal RNA (228 nucleotides) under uncultured bacterium. RNAcentral describes it as "partial 16S ribosomal RNA". It matches the Rfam family "Bacterial small subunit ribosomal RNA", at positions 103 to 334 of the family's 1533-position model. The record is from RNAcentral.